CAGAAUGUAGCUAAUUAGUAAAGCGCCUCCCUUACACCGAGAAAAAGUCUAUGCAACUUGGACCAUUUUGA
Molecule: transfer RNA, 71 nt
Filed under: Etmopterus virens (green lanternshark)
Lineage: Eukaryota; Metazoa; Chordata; Chondrichthyes; Squaliformes; Etmopteridae
Description: tRNA-Val
Rfam family: tRNA
About the family: Transfer RNA (tRNA) molecules are approximately 80 nucleotides in length. Their secondary structure includes four short double-helical elements and three loops (D, anti-codon, and T loops). Further hydrogen bonds mediate the characteristic L-shaped molecular structure. tRNAs have two regions of fundamental functional importance: the anti-codon, which is responsible for specific mRNA codon recognition, and the 3' end, to which the tRNAs corresponding amino acid is attached (by aminoacyl-tRNA synthetases). tRNAs cope with the degeneracy of the genetic code in two manners: having more than one tRNA (with a specific anti-codon) for a particular amino acid; and 'wobble' base-pairing, i.e. permitting non-standard base-pairing at the 3rd anti-codon position.
Source: RNAcentral